Molecule: transfer RNA, 73 nt
Filed under: Methylopila sp. Yamaguchi
Lineage: Bacteria; Pseudomonadati; Pseudomonadota; Alphaproteobacteria; Hyphomicrobiales; Methylopilaceae
Description: tRNA-Arg
Source: RNAcentral
GGCCCGGUGGUCAGUGCCUUAGCUCUGACUUCUAAGCUGAUGGUCGCUGGUUCGAAUCCAGCCGGGGUCGCCA